Podarcis lilfordi (Lilford's wall lizard) is the source of this 2257-nucleotide non-coding RNA. NCBI's taxonomy places the organism in Eukaryota, Metazoa, Chordata, Lepidosauria, Squamata, Lacertidae. The record is from the annotation of a GenBank genome assembly.
CUCACAUGACUCAGAACAAGACAGGAUUCCGAGAGGGUGAUCUAUAGAGAUGGGUACGGUGUUGUUGUUGUUACUGGGCUGCAUGAAAUUAGACCAGGUUCACUCCUUCUCCCCCUGUCCCUGACUUGGAUACUACUUUGUAUGGAGUCUGGUGUCUGGCUGUUGCUGCUCUAUAAUUGGAGCUGCAUCUUCUGGCAUGAUCCCGACCUCCUGGCUUGGCUGAUUCAGGGCCUCUCUAGAAAACCUAUUUAUUGAGCAUUCGUCCUGAUUUGUUUGCACAAUGCUUGCACGUAGGUCAAGUUACAUCUGACUUUUGAGCAAUAGUUUUGAUUUGUUGAUAGGACAGUUGUAUGGCAAUGAGGAUUCUUUCUUAUUUGUAUCCAGGGUGUUUAUAGGUCUUCCCAUUAGUCAUUCAUCCCCUACUUUUAACCCACUUUAAAUGCAGAAGCCUAAAGUUCUGGUAUGUUCUUGAAUCCCUCCUGCAAAAUAUGGACAGUCUGGAGGCACUCUCAGUCCUGAUUAGGGUUGCAGAUUUUCCAAAGGUUGAUAUAAAGGUUAAAGGGGGGGGGGAAGCAUGGCACUCUGUCCCCACACCCGCGCAAAGGCCCUACAUUCAGAUGAAACUCUAUUUCUGCAAGACACUAUUCCAAAAUACUAUUUAUUUCUGCAGGAAUGUUCUGAGGUUUCACACAAUGCUUUCUUGUAGAAAAUACUUUCUGAAACAUUUUUGUAGAAUGGCUUUCAAUUCUUGUCUUUCAGCUGCAGAUCCAUACAAAAUUACAUCUUCUUUUGAUACAAGAAAAAAUGUAUGUGAGUGUGCGUGUGUGCAUGUGUGCAUGAACGCACUCACUUGCUUUCACACAAGCUUUCAAAAGCAAAAAAAGAAAUCCUGGACAAAGAGGUCUGGCAAAACAAAAUUUCUAAAAGUUAUGUGUCACAUUCAGUAUUGUUUUGGAAGGGGUAAUGCUUAAAUAUGUUAUUGCUAUGAACAUCCCAUCUUUGCUACUGCAUGUAUGCAUCUGGAGAGAGAGAGAAUUCUUAUAGCGAUAAGGAAUUCUCUUCAAUUUCAUUUGAUAGAUUUGGUAUGAGGACAUAAUAAAUGUUUUAGACCAGACAGAACGGCAGUGGGGAGAAGAAAUGAAUGGAAGAACAGAAUAAAGCUGUUAAAAAAGAAAAGGAAAAGAGAGAAAAGAGAACAGAAAUAAUGGGGGUGGUGAAUAUGGGAUGGGGGAAUCAGAAGUGGAAGAAUGUGGUUGUUUGAAAGCCUGAGUCAGAGGUGAAAGGGUGAAUGGAAAGCCGUUUCUGCAGUCAACGUAACUGAGCUUGACCAGGUGUGAGACCAUUUAUCAAGCAUUUAAUGUAUUGUGCUUUCUUUCCACGAGGAGUCUCAUUUCUGGUCAUUCCAUAGUCCUUGACCUUGGACCGCAAUGGGCUUCAUGCAGCUCUGUGAUAAAUGAUCAUUUCUGAAACAGCAUGCAUCACCUCUCAAUCGCUUACACACACACACACACACACACACACACACACACACUGCAACCCCCUUCCCAUGUUAUGUCACACGACUCAGCCUAUUUGUAAAUCACUCAUCAAAUGCAACACACCUUGAUUCCCAGUUCAAGCAGAAAUGUCCCACGCAGUUCCAAAGAGCGGAAUGAAGCUGAACUGAGGCUGCAAGAUCACACAAAGAGGAAGGGGCUGAAGCAGACACAGCUGUAGCUUGAUGGCUGAAUGCACAGAAAAGUGCUCUUACUUGUUCACCUUACUGGGGCAGUGGGACUUCGCUUGUCUUUGAAGCAAAGAAAAUAACAUAACAAGUGUAAGGGACUCUUCAACAAGAGCUUUCAGAGUUAUCAAGAAGAAAACACAAUAAAUUUCAACAUUUUAUUUGUUUGUUUGUUUGUUUAAAGUUACCUAUAAGCUGCCUUUCAUAUCUGUAAAAAACAUCAGUUAACAGCGAUGCCAGGGGACAGAAUUAACAACCAAGGAAAUCUUGGGUGAAGAGGUAUGUUUCAGUAGGGCUGUGUGCAGCCUUCCUGAUCCAUCCCGCAGCUCCAAUUUGGGGGUCUCCAAUUAGGCUGACCCACCCUGAGAGAGCCUAGGGACCACCCACCCUUGAUCCAUUCCCGAAUUGGUUCAGUAGUCAGGGCUAAUUCUUAAUUCAGGUAAAAACAACCUAAUGGCCAUAUUGCCAAUAGAGGGUGGGGGAAGGAGAUGUUGAAAUUCCUCCCCACCUCACCCCACAAACCGAGAGUGGGGG